UAGUAAUUUUAAGGGCAGGUGGAGGAUGCCUUGGGAUAUUGAGGCGAUGAAGGGCGUGGCGUGACUGCGAUAAGCCUCGGGGAGGUGUCUAGCAACCUUUGAUCCGAGGAUUUCCGAAUGGGGAAACCCAAUGUGGCAAACCCGCAUUACUCCGAUGCAAAUCGGAGAGCGAACCCGCCGAAGUGAAACAUCUCAGUAAGCGGAGGAAAAGAAAAAUAAUUUUCAUUCCCUUAGUAGCGGCGAGCGAAGAGGGAGAAGCUCAAACUCCAUAUUUAUAUGGAGGGUUGUAAGAAGAUUGCUUCAGGGAAACCUGAAAAGAGAAUAAGGAGUUAGAAGAACAGCCCUGGAAAGGGCGGCCAUAGAAGGUAAUAGCCCUGUAUUUUAAAACUUCUUAGACCCUUGCAGUCUCUCUUGAGUAUCUCGGGAAAAGAUAGCCCCGAGAGAAACAGGCCGUACUAAUCGGCCAAAGCUAAAUACUCAAUAUCACCGAUAGCGAACUAGUACCGUGAGGGAAAGGUGAAAAGCAGGGGGGCGACCCCGGUGAAACAGAAUCUGAAACCAUUUUGCCCACAAGGAGUCAGAGCCCCGCUUCGGCGGGGUGAUGGCGUGCCUAUUGAAGAAUGAGCCAACGACUUGUAUUACAUAGCUUGUCUAAGUCCUUACGGGACGGAGACUCAGGGAAACCAAGUGUUAAAAGCGCGAAUUUGCUAUGUGGUACAGACCCGAAGCCAAGCGAGCUUGCCAUGGCCAGGAUGAACUCCGAUGAAAAUUGGAGGGAGGUCCGAACUCGUGAGCUGUGCAAUACUCUGGGAUGAGCUGUGGUAAGUAGUGAAAAGCUAAUCGAGCUUGGUAAUAGCUGGUUCUCUCCGAAAUAGCUUUAGGGCUAGCCUUUGUUUUAUCUCUCCGGAGGUAGAGCACUGAAUGGGAUUUCUUGGGCUUUGCCCGGAUCUCCCAAUCAAACUCCGAAUGCCGGAGAGUUUUGGCAGAGAGUUAGACUGUGGGGGCUAAGCUCCAUGGUCGAAAGGGAAAGAGCCCAGAUCUUAAUCUAAGGUCCCUAAACUAAGUUAAGUGUGCUUAAGGAUGUGAAAUUCCACUGAUAGCUAGGAGGUUAGCUUAGAAGCAGCUAUCCUUUAAAAAGUGCGUAAUAGCUUACUAGCUAAGGAGUCUCGCGCCGAAGAUUUACGGGACUAAACUUAGUACCGAAGAUAAGAUUCUGCAUAUGAUUCGUCAUGUGCAGGAGGUAGGAGAGCAUUCUGUUGGCGCUGAAGCCCCGUUGUGAAGCGGGGUGGAGCCUACAGAAGAGAGAAUGUUGGCAUGAGUAACCACAAGUCCGAUUAAAACUCGGACCACCGAAAACCCGAGGUUUCCUUGGCAAUGACAAUCAUCCAAGGGUUAGGCGGCCCUAAUCCGUUCGCUGAAAAGUGGGCGGAGAUGGACAGCCGGUUAAUAUUCCGGCCCUUCCAUUUAUUCUAAGCAGUGACGCAGUUGCGUAGUUCAGAGGGAUUAUUGGAUUUCCUCACUCCCGUUUCGGCGGGGGGUUCUGAACGAAGCNNNNNNNNNNNNNNNNNNNNNNNNNNNNNNNNNNNNNNNNNNNNNNNNNNNNNNNNNNNNNNNNNNNNNNNNNNNNNNNNNNNNGAACGAGUGAAAGCUCCUGAAGGAACUCGGCAAAUCAGCAGGCGUAACUUCGGAAUAUGCCUUUCCUCCUUCAAAAGGAGGACGCAGCUAAAGAACCCCUAGCGGCUGUUUAUCAAAAACACAGGUCCCUGCUAAACUCGUAAGAGGA
This 1783-nucleotide ribosomal RNA is filed under the name Candidatus Nealsonbacteria bacterium RIFOXYC1_FULL_40_7. Its description in RNAcentral is "partial 23S ribosomal RNA". It matches the Rfam family "Bacterial large subunit ribosomal RNA", at positions 1 to 1841 of the family's 2925-position model. The record is from RNAcentral. Lineage: Bacteria; Candidatus Nealsoniibacteriota.